AAGUAAUAUAACUGAGGACGAUAGAACAGCUUCAUGAAGCUUCACUCUGCUUUGCUUAGAUUGAAUGGGAAGGGCUGGCUAAGAGAAGAGGCUUUGGGAAAAUGCCUACAGCUAGAUGUAUCUUUUAACGUUAAAGAAAGAAACCAGAAAAGCCUUUCAGAAGUAAACCAAAGAGCUGUUUUUCAGAAGGUUAGAGUCCACCUGGAGUAGUCAGAGAAACAAAUUGUUCAAACAAUGUGAACAUGUAACAUCUGUGAUUUUCAAAAAGGAAGUGUAUGGCAAACAGGAUGCAAUCGGCCAGUUCAUAAGGUGGGCAAGACUGUCUCACCGGAAGGGUUACAGUGAGGUUUGCUGUUUUACAUGAAGGUCUUGUGGGUGUACAUGGCUCUCUGUAGUUUUGCUUGACAG
Molecule: long non-coding RNA, 408 nt
Organism: Neopsephotus bourkii (Bourke's parrot)
Lineage: Eukaryota; Metazoa; Chordata; Aves; Psittaciformes; Psittacidae
Exons: 4
Source: RefSeq, a predicted model, not a curated record